This is a long non-coding RNA of Triticum aestivum (bread wheat), 1790 nucleotides long. RefSeq lists it as uncharacterized. NCBI's taxonomy places the organism in Eukaryota, Viridiplantae, Streptophyta, Magnoliopsida, Poales, Poaceae. The transcript has 3 exons. The record is from RefSeq and is a predicted model, not a curated record.
CAUUCAACAUUUUAUUUAUUUGUUGUGGUUGGUUCUGAGAUACUUUGCAGUUACAUUUUGAUCGUCACUCAAUAAGACUGGCUGGUGUGCUUAGCUUGUUUGGUUGUGAGGAUCAUAAUGGUAGAAUAUAUAUUGCUGAGUUGCUACUGAAUAUAAGGACCUUUACAAGAAUACCCUUCAUACCAUCAUAGUGCUUGCGUGUUGCCUGGAGCCAGCCGAGAUAUCAGAUGUGGCAUGUGGACAAGUUUGGAAUUCAACAAUUAAGUAGUAGCAUAUCUGUGCAAAGGUUAGUAAACCCCCUGCUGAAAUUCACGAUCGCUUUAGCUAUGAUAGGUUGUAUUCAAAGUGGAAUUGUCAAACUCUUAUUACCUCAUGAGACCAAAGUUAGAGAACUUGUUGCUUUCUUCAUAUGUCGGCAGUCUAGCUUUUGAGCACGCUCAUAAUCUCUGAAUUCAUUGCCAUUCUGAAUUAAAUAACACGGGAGAGUUUUCAGCUGAUACAUUUAGUCGUAAAGGUAGAGAACACUUGUUACUAGGUGAUUGAUGAACAUGUAUUGAGCAAAAAGACUUGAGCUUGCUAAUUUUUAUUCAUAGAACCAGCUGAGUUGAUUAUGGUGAAGGUGAUUUUAUUCUCUUAUCGAUUUGGAGUAUUUUUCUAUCCCACCAAUGCCAAAAAUAGAGCAGAUUCCAUGAGCCUUGAUUAUUGCAAUUUGAAUAUUUUUAGUGCGUAUUGUUAAGUUCGACGUUCCUCUAGUCUGAAGUCUUUCAAAGACAGUCAUUCUCUUCGCGUAACUUUACACUUCCUAACCUCUUCACUCGGCAUUGCGUUCCUUCAUAAGGAUAUCAUGAACAUUACCAGUGUACAUAUACAAAUCCCAGAAAUUAAACCAUACCUACCUAUAUAAUGCAUCACUGCGCACUGGGUAUUCCAUAGUAGUUGAUUAUUCCAUGAGCACAGUCAUCAAAGUUCGAGAAGAUUGUAAAGCGCUUUAUUGCCAUCAACCCUGCAAAAUUCAUUAUUAUGAAGAGCUAUAUUCAUCAGCAUUGAUUCCUCUCUUAGAUACAAAUGGAAAAAAAGAAAUAAAGAAAAAGAGAGAUGAGCACCAUGCAAAAGAUCAAAGGGUUCUUGUGCAGAUUGAUGAAACUACUACCUAUGUGCAGAUUAAUCAAAAUACUACCUAUGCAUAUCGAUAACAGGAACAUCACUCACAUCCUGGGAUCACCUUACAUUGCAUAGGCCUCUCAAAUCAUUUCUUUGGUGUGACUCCAUUCCCUCCCACAUACCCUAUACUACUUUUUCCAAUGACUGGAAUGUGAAGACUUCUUUGUACUGGAGUUGAACUCUUAUUUAGCUUUACAAUCUAGAUUUCAGAUUUGCUAAUUUUUUUGAAUUACUUUACCAAGCUCCAGAUAAGCUUUCCAAAAAUAUCAAAUAGAUAGGGAAUACUUGGGCUCCAGUGAGUACUAUAAUUAAGUGACAGAGAGUAAUUCUGGAUCAUUACGAGGUAAUUUCGCUAGAUACCUGCUCUCGGAAGGUUAACAAGGAAUAAAAUUGUUGGUUACUCCUGUUUCCUUUUGUUCUUGACAUUGAAGUCAAACAACCAAGUGACUGGUGUUCAAAAACUUCUACAGCUAUAUUGUUGAUGUUGUUCACUCUCAAAAAAUGAAAUCUGUUCCCUACUGGCAAUGAUUCAGAGUAGUUAUUUAAGUGUGUGCUCAAUCGCUAGCUUGCUACUUUAAGUAUGUUAAGCUUUCAGGUGUUUCGCAAGCAUGUGGGCAAGUUGAAUCAGG